RNAcentral lists this ribosomal RNA (497 nucleotides) under uncultured bacterium. RNAcentral's name for it is "partial 16S ribosomal RNA". It matches the Rfam family "Bacterial small subunit ribosomal RNA", at positions 28 to 507 of the family's 1533-position model. The record is from RNAcentral.
GAUGAACGCUGGCGGCGUGCCUAAUACAUGCAAGUCGAGCGAACGGACGAGAAGCUUGCUUCUCUGAUGUUAGCGGCGGACGGGUGAGUAACACGUGGAUAACCUACCUAUAAGACUGGGAUAACUUCGGGAAACCGGAGCUAAUACCGGAUAAUAUUUUGAACCGCAUGGUUCAAUAGUGAAAGACGGUCUUGCUGUCACUUAUAGAUGGAUCCGCGCUGCAUUAGCUAGUUGGUAAGGUAACGGCUUACCAAGGCAACGAUGCAUAGCCGACCUGAGAGGGUGAUCGCCGACAUUGGAACUGAGACACGGUCCAGAGUCCUACGAGAGGGAGCAGUAGGGAACCUGCCGCAGAGGGCGAAAGCCUGACGGAGCAACGCCGCGUGAGUGAUGAAGGUCUUCGGAGCGUAAAACUCGGUUAUGAGGGAAGAACAGAUGUGUAAGUAACUGUGCACAUCUUGACGGUACCUAAUCAGAAAGCCACGGCUAACUACGUG